GCCGUUUACCUUGAAAAAUAGAUAAAUUUUCUUCAUUUAAGGCUCGCUGGCUCGUUCACUUGUAAGCUACGAACUCUCGAACCACCCUUUCCUUGCAUAUAUCACAGUGAAAGCGUAAAAUUUAGUAAAGGUAUAUGCUGACGUUUCAAUGUAUGCAUUUACGUGACAGUUUAGCGAAAGUGUCGAGAAGAAUAUAAGUGUCUACUAUUUUUAGUAAAUGUAUUCAUUUAGUAGACAAUGAAAUUGGUAUGUGCAUACAUUAACUAGUAAGUUCCUUGUCCCUGUUUCACGUGCUUACAUGAGAGUUUUCGAGAACCGUUUGCCCACACAGAGAAAAAUGUAUAAUUCAGCGGAGCGGAUAAACACAGUGUUACCAGUGAUCGAAGUCACCUGGCAGUCCGGUCACGAAUUUAUUUCACAACUACAUAACUUUCCUAACGUUUGGAACAGAGUAGCAAAACGAGGAUUGCGAUCUCGGGAUUUGUUUGGAGUCCAAACAUGCAUAUAAUAGCGGUUGCUUCGUUAACGUUCAACAAAACGAAGUAAUACAUUUUUCUCGUUGUGAAAAUCUCGUUCUAUUCGUGACAAUGAAUCCACGUGAAUUACCAGUGUGCCCUAUUGCUGACAUUAUAACCCAGAUUCUACGUGAAAAAAUAAGUUGAAAGUUUCUCUUCUUGUAUGCUAAUAUUUGUACCUACGUUUGUGCUUAUAGUAUUGGACAAUGGGGAACUUGUAGUAAAGCUGGCUACCGAUGUAUCAUCAAUUUUAUUAUUUUUGAAAUUGUUGAGAAUGUUUAUCAUUACCCAAUACAUAUAUAUGAACAUAAUUAACACGGUUAAUUGUACUUAAUAUUUAAAGUCAGUUCUUCGUAAAAAAGAACUUCGUAUAAAACUCUUUUAUGUUUUUGAUUUAUAUACGUAGAAUCACCUUUUUUACCUCUUUACGAAAUACUCUAUAUAGUCGAUAUAAAUAAUUUCGACCUUUGACCCUUAUGAAAUGAAAAUUAAUAACCAUACACAAUAUGCUAUAAAACUUAACACCGAUAUCAGAGGAUAUAUUAGCCGUAAAAAAAAAACUGAAAAAAAUACCGCCCAGCUACCUUCAGUAUCAGCUUCAAUAAAAAGCAAGAAGGUACGUGAUGUAAACGUAUCUUGCAAGUUACGAAAUCCAAGUACAAAGUCCACGGUACUGCUACGCGAGCCAAGAAAGAAAGACGAAAAGAACAUAGAUCUCGCCAACAAGAAAACACAAUACAACGACUUACUACGUGACUAAAAACUAUAGAGCAAAAAAGAAGAAGCUAGAAGGUGAAAGAGUUAGAAACAGAAUGGUUUCGCGAUGUUUAAUAGCUGCGAAGAGGAAAAUUUGAAAUUUUGCAUGAAGUCGCGUUCGACGACGCGUAUUGCAUGAGAGCGCACGCACACGUGCAACCAAUGCGCCGCGCGGUAUACUCUCACUGUCCUCGGGGACGUUGCUCGAGGACGAGGAUAAAUUUUCCUCUUUGCGCCGAUAUCAAUGAUUUCCCCUCUUCGCGGUGCAACGAGCGACCAGCAAGAAGCGGCGGUCUUUGCGUUCGCGAGCGUUGCAGGUUCGUGUUCGCGAAUCGUUAAACUAUUAUAUAAUGCUCUCUCAAAUUGUUCACUGGAACGCUGCGUAUUUUCUGCAAGUAGCGUUUGAGCCGCCGCGCCGCCACAUUGAGGACGAUUUAGGUGUGGAAAUUUUUUUGUUAAAAAAAGUGUUUACUGAUUUUUUUCUAAUUCUUUUUGUAGUAAGAACGUAACACGUAUUUCUAAAUCUUUUUAGAAUUUUAGUAAAUGAUUAUGAAUAUAGGGCGUGGGUUGAGUAAAAUGUUAGAAGCUGGAGAUAUUAAUCUCAUUUUUUUUUUUUUGGCAUACAAUGGACUUUUCUAUGGCAGUUCUAGGGUAACAGGCCUAAUCCUAACCCUAAUCCUAACAG
This is a long non-coding RNA of Bombus impatiens (common eastern bumble bee), 1956 nucleotides long. RefSeq lists it as uncharacterized. The record is from RefSeq and is a predicted model, not a curated record. NCBI's taxonomy places the organism in Eukaryota, Metazoa, Arthropoda, Insecta, Hymenoptera, Apidae. The transcript is spliced from 3 exons.